CAAGUCCAAUUCCUGAUGCAAAGUCAGUUAAUGAUCAAGAAAAUUCUCAAGAGGAAUGUAGUGGACAGACUCAGACCUCUGACGAGGAGGGGAAUGAUCUUUUAGAAGACCUUCCCAGACGAUCAACUAGACAAAGAAAGGGUCCUAAAAUGCUUACCUAUCCACAGCUUGGAAACCCUUUAAUGCACGUAGUGGAUUCCUUUUUCCAAGGCUUAAACACCGUUUUGCUUAAUGCAUUGGAUAAUAGUGAAAGUCUGAAUGAUUUACCAGGGAAAUCCUCCAUACAGGAUGUAUAAUAUGUUGAGUUAUUCUAAACUGUCACGAGACGUGCACAGUUAAGUGGGGGAGGAUGUAACCCAGAUUACUGAAGGGUUAUAUUUGUACAUUUAUAAAAUAAUAUAAAUGAUCAGGGGAUAAAACAACAUGAUAAAACAACAUAUAGCUGUGGAUUCAUUGUUCUAAAAUGUUCUUAAUAAGAAAUAAAUUGUUUAAAAAUAAUAAUGUGAAAUAUUCACAUGUUAUUGGUUUAGCCAAUCAGUGAUGUGUGGGAGGGAUUUGCGCUUGCUGACGCAGUGGGAAGAGAUCGCCAGACUGUGGAGGAAGAGAGAGGGUGAGAUCGCUAGAUUUGAUGAUUUAAACUGUGAAAUCAGAUUAUAACUUUGAAAUUAGUUCGAGAAACUUACAAAAAGCUUUCAUAGAGAAGUAUUUGAAGAGGAUUCAGUCAUUAAAUUGUUCCUGUGACGAUCGAUGGGAAAAUUGCAUCAUUGUGUUGUUGAGGAGUGAAUAUAUGGACAUGGUCAGGUUUUUUUUCUUUGGUGUUUUUGAUUGAAGACUGAUUCACAUUGAUGGCGAGCCAACCUAUUCGGACACUAGAAAAGGAAACUGGAAAUCCACCCUACUGAACCAGGAGAGUACUUUAAUACUUAUUAUUUUUUUCAGCUCAAGGUAAAAGACAGUUUUUUUCCGUUUCUGGAUAGAGACUGUUCGUGGUUUUUUUUCUGAGAACUGAUUAAAAAAAAAGGAAAAAAAAACUAAUACCAGCGCACGGACACUUGGAAAUCAAACUAUUUUCCUUUUGAAGUGAAAUGAGAAAUACUGAGUUUGUUGAUUCUGAACAAGUGGUUUUCUUUACAUUUUCAAUGUAAUUUCAAUUGAACUUUAUUUUGUUUUAUUGUGUUUUGAUUGUUUAUCGUAUUUUGUUAAUUUUAUUUUGGGGAAAGAUCUGCAGAAAAUUAUAUCUAUAAACAUUUCAAAUACUUACCUA
Long non-coding RNA from Danio aesculapii, 1264 nucleotides. RefSeq lists it as uncharacterized. The record is from RefSeq and is a predicted model, not a curated record. The transcript is spliced from 2 exons. Lineage: Eukaryota; Metazoa; Chordata; Actinopteri; Cypriniformes; Danionidae.